This 695-nucleotide ribosomal RNA is filed under the name Chlorolobion braunii. RNAcentral describes it as "large subunit ribosomal RNA". It matches the Rfam family "Bacterial large subunit ribosomal RNA", at positions 1968 to 2510 of the family's 2925-position model. The record is from RNAcentral. Lineage: Eukaryota; Viridiplantae; Chlorophyta; Chlorophyceae; Sphaeropleales; Selenastraceae.
CUUGCCAAAUAAUUGUUGGCCUGCAUGAAUGGCGUCAUGAUCCUUCCGCUGUCUCUCCCGGGUCGCCAGCGAACUUGACAUUCUCGUGAAGAGGCGAGAGAUUUAGCACGGGACGAUAAGACCCUGGCACCUUGACUUCAAGCUGUUGUUGCUGUUCUUACUUCAGGAGUUCAGUCUAGGUGGGACUUUUCUGAUUUCAUAGAAAAGACAAAUGAGAGACCACCCUUUUGAAGAAGAGCAGCUCCAAAAAAAGGAACUGUGAAGGUGUUGUUCAAACCCUGUUUGAACACACUCAACUCACUCUCAGCUUAGGGCCCUAAGGGCCUUCCAGAGGCCAUCGCUCGAGGGCCAUCACAGAUGGCCCUCGGCCACCUAAGUGGCCCUUUGGAGCGACCCUAAUGAAAUCUUUAAUCCUAGGCGAAAGUUCUGUUUUUGGUCAGACAGUGUGGGAGUUUCUCUGGGGCGGAGGCCUCCAAAACAGUAUCGGAGGCGCGCCAAGGUUAGAAACCCCCCUUUCAUGGGCAAGGUUUUGUGGCAAUCCAUUUCUCUAGCCUGACUGUAAGGAACACUCUCCGAACAGGUACGCAAGUAGGCGAUAGUGACCCAGUGGUUUGGUGUGGAAAAACCACUGAUCAUCGGAUCAAAGGUACGCCAGGGAUAACAGGUUCAUCGGCUCCUAGAGGUGCGCCACUGUG